UACGUAGGGGGCAAGCGUUGUCCGGAUUUAUUGGGCGUAAAGAGCGUGUAGGCGGCCAGGCAGGUCCGCUGUGAAAACUCGAGGCUCAACCUCGAGAGGUCGGUGGAAACCGUCUGGCUAGAGUCCGGAAGAGGAGAGUGGAAUUCCCGGUGUAGCGGUGAAAUGCGCAGAUAUCGGGAAGAACACCCGUGGCGAAGGCGGCUCUCUGGGCCGGUACUGACGCUGAGGAGCGAAAGCGUGGGGAGCAAACAGG
This 253-nucleotide ribosomal RNA is filed under the name uncultured bacterium. RNAcentral's name for it is "partial 16S ribosomal RNA". It matches the Rfam family "Bacterial small subunit ribosomal RNA", at positions 524 to 776 of the family's 1533-position model. The record is from RNAcentral.